This 447-nucleotide ribosomal RNA is filed under the name uncultured bacterium. Its description in RNAcentral is "bacterial SSU rRNA". It matches the Rfam family "Bacterial small subunit ribosomal RNA", at positions 330 to 794 of the family's 1533-position model. The record is from RNAcentral.
ACCAGACUCCUACGGGAGGCAGCAGUGGGGAAUAUUGCACAAUGGGGGAAACCCUGAUGCAGCGACGCCGCGUGAGUGAAGAAGUAUUUCGGUAUGUAAAGCUCUAUCAGCAGGGAAGAAAAUGACGGUACCUGAUUAAGAAGCCCCGGCUAACUACGUGCCAGCAGCCGCGGUAAUACGUAGGGGGCAAGCGUUAUCCGGAUUUACUGGGUGUAAAGGGAGCGUAGACGGUGAUGCAAGUCAGAAGUGAAAGCCCGGGGCUCAACUCCGGGACUGCUUUUGAAACUGUGUGACUGGAGUGCAGGAGAGGUAAGCGGAAUUCCUAGUGUAGCGGUGAAAUGCGUAGAUAUUAGGAGGAACACCAGUGGCGAAGGCGGCUUACUGGACUGUAACUGACGUUGAGGCUCGAAAGCGUGGGGAGCAAACAGGAUUAGAUACCCGAGUACC